This 499-nucleotide ribosomal RNA is filed under the name uncultured bacterium. RNAcentral's name for it is "bacterial SSU rRNA". It matches the Rfam family "Bacterial small subunit ribosomal RNA", at positions 407 to 919 of the family's 1533-position model. The record is from RNAcentral.
GAUGAAGGCCCUAGGGUUGUAAAGCUCUUUCGACGGGGACGAUAAUGACGGUACCCGUAGAAGAAGCCCCCGGCUAACUUCGUGCCAGCAGCCGCGGUAAUACGAAGGGGGGCUAGCGUUGUUCGGAAUCACUGGGCGUAAAGCGCACGUAGGCGGAUCGUUAAGUCGAGGGUGAAAUCCCAGGGCUCAACCCUGGAACUGCCUUCGAUACUGGCGAUCUUCGAGUCCGGGGAGAGGUGAGUGGAACUCCGAGUGUAGAGGUGAAAUUCGUAGAUAUUCGGAAGAACACCAGUGGCGAAGGCGGCUCACUGGCCCGGUACUGACGCUGAGGUGCGAAAGCGUGGGGAGCAAACAGGAUUAGAUACCCCUGGUAGUCCACGCCGUAAACGAUGAAUGCUAGCCGUCGGGGAGCAUGCUCUUCGGUGGCGCAGCCAACGCAAUAAGCAUUCCGCCUGGGGAGUACGAUCGCAAGAUUAAAACUCAAAGGAAUUGACGGGGG